RNAcentral lists this long non-coding RNA (11163 nucleotides) under Capsicum annuum. RNAcentral's name for it is "long non-coding RNA (CANN_LNC015142)". Lineage: Eukaryota; Viridiplantae; Streptophyta; Magnoliopsida; Solanales; Solanaceae. The record is from RNAcentral.
CAACAAAAUCUGACAUUAUUUUUUAAUUAUUAAUCAUCUAGCCCACCAACCUUUAACUUUGGAGUAUAACUAAGUAGCCUGAUCAGUUAGACCAACUAGUGAGUUUUUAAACUGUCAUUGCACUACUCCACUCUGUAUAUUAAACCUUAUUUUCUUCUAAAACCUUAGAUCCACUCUUAUCACAACAUUCUCAGUGAAGAUCUGAUCACUAGCAUUUUCAAAGUUCCUUCUUUUUCUUCCCUUCUUAUCAUUUCUGUUUUCUUGAUUUCUCAAGAAAAAACAAUCCAUUUUUUCAUCAUCCUCUUCUUCAAUGGAGAAAGUACAUUUCAGAACUGAAGUCCUCAGCAGACACCUAAGUCAAGAAACUCCAAUACUCAAUCCAAUGCUCCAAUCAUUCCCAUGUCUUAGCUAUAACCCACCUGAGCUUUCAGAACCAUCUUCUGUUUUUGACAUAAAAGAGAUGAGAAAGCUAAUGGAUGGUCACAAUUUUGAUGAAAGGGACUGGCUUUUUGGUCUGAUGUUACAGAGUAAGCUUUUUAACCCAAUAAAAAAGGGUGGAAAAGUGUUUGUUUCCCCUGAUUACAGUCAAUCUAAGGAACAACAAAGGGAAAUUACCAUGAGGAGGAUUGAGUACCUUGUGGAACAUGGGGGUAUCAAGGAAUGGCUUACUGGUAAAGGGUCUGAAAAUGAAUUGAGGAACUUAGCUCGUGCGGAGUGUGUUAGCAUCUUUGAUUAUUCACUUGGCAUCAAGCUUGGAGUCCAUUUGUUCCUAUGGUAUGUUUUUGUUCAUUAUAUGCCUAUUCUUUUAUAUCCGGAGCUUAGUGGCCGGACAAAUUCGAUACCUAUCAGGUAGGUCCCCCUAAGGGAGAAGUUAUCCAUUUCGAGGCUUAAACCCGAGACCUAUGGUUAAGAUAGGGACAUAGGGUUAAGCGUGGAGCCCACUAAGACAUAAAUUUUUCUUUCCCAAGAGUUAGGUCAAGGGUUAGACCUCUAGUUAAGUUCUUCAUUUCCAAGACUUAGUAGAAUCCGACUCCUGUGUUUAAGAGGUGGGAGAUUCCAAGGCUGUAUAAACCCCACAUUAAAUUAUAUUGCAAUACCAAUACCUUGCAAUGGACCACAACAAACCACCAAGCUUAGCAUCCGUCGUUCUAGACGGCUCCACAGUCGGCAGCUUUCACUAGGUAGGUCAGGGCACAGAGGGUGUUUGGUGGAUUUGAUAUCAUUAGUACAAUCCAGAGAGAAUCAUACUUCAAAAGCUAGCUAUUGAGGUGUGGGUAUCCAAGGCUAUAUAAAUCCCACAUCAGCAUAUCGCAAUACGGAUACCGAUGUGGGACUCAAGUUCCAUGCCUUGUAAUGGACCAUACCAUGUUCUCCAUUCCCAAGGCUUAAACCUGAGACCUUGGUUAAAUGUGGAGCCUACUAAGAGAGAAAUUCAUUUUACCACAUCUAUUGGUUGUUCUUUUUCUUGUUUGUUAGAUACAAUUUUAGUAAUCUCUUGCUUAUUACUUACUACAACAACAACAUACCCAAUGUAUUCCCACCUAGUGGGGUGUGGGGAGGGUAGAGUGUACGCAGACCAUACAACUACCUCAAGAGAAGUAGAAAGGCAUAUAAACUAGUGUGGUACACAAAACAAACUAACAGUAUAACAAACACAAAAGAUAAGCGCAUAAUAAACUAGUACGGGAUGCAAAAAAGCCAACACCACUAGCCCCAAAAACUACAGCCACAAACACUACAGACCAGAAACUUCAGACCCAAAUGAGCACUCCCCUAUUACUACCGCCGCACUCCCACCCCCUAACCCUCUACCCUAAUCCGCGUCCUCCACACCUUUCUAUCAAGGAUCAUGUCCUCUGUAAGCUGUAAUUGCUCCAUAUCAUGCCUAAUCACCUCCCUUCAAUAUUUUUUCGGUCUACCUCUAGCCCGCCUAAAACCAUCCAUAGCUAGAGUCUCACACCUCCGCACUGGAGCAUUAGGGCCCCUUCUCAUCACAUGCCCGAACCAACGUAGCCUCACUUCUCGCAACUUAUCCUCCACCGAGGCAACUCCCACCUUACUUAAUGUUCAAAUUAGGUAAAUAAAGCUGGUUCUGUCCUUGAUAUACAAUUUAAGGAAAACGUGUUCCUCUUUCAUCAAUCGUAUUAGUUUUACAAUUGAAUAACUUAUUUCCUAACUCACUAUCAAACAUUGUAUAACUUAUACAAAAAUUCAUACAUAUAUAAGUUGCUUCUUUACUAGCUACCAAACGAACCCUGAAUAUUUUUGUUGUGAAUUAAAUAUGAGAUAAAUUAAUCUGACAUUUUUAAAAAUUAUAUGUCACCUAGCCCACCAACCUUAACUUUGGAGUAUAGCUAAUAACAUUUCUGUUUUCUUGAUUUCCCAUACAAAAUCAAUCCAAUUUUUCAUCCUCUUCUCUUUUCUUGGUGGUCUGAAUUAUAAUACACCAUUUCCUCUUAACUUAUACAUAUAUUAGCUGUACAAGUUUCUAAAUUGCAAAACCUAACGUCAUAUUAGUUUAAACAUGAGAAAUUUAUUUCCUAUUUUGAGCUAGUGAAGUGCAUCAAGGAGGAGGAUGAUACAGUAUUGGUUGAGGAUGUCCUCAUUAGGAAGAGGUGGCAGUCCUAUUUUCAUAAACUUUUGAACGAUGAGGGGAACAAAGGUUUCGUGCUGGGGGACUUGGAGAAUUCUGAGAGGUGUCGCGAUAAUGGUUAUUGUAGGCGUACCAAGGUUGAGGAGGUCAAGGGGGGCUAUUCGCAGGAUGCGUAGGGGGAGGGUGACUGAGCCAGACAAGAUUCCGGUGGAUUUUUGGAAGAGCACUGGCGGGAAAGGUUUGGAGUGGUUGAUAAGGUCGCGUUUAACAUCAUUUUCUGGGCGGCGAAGGUGUCCAAGUGUGGAGGUGGAGUACAAUGAUUCCAUUAUAUAAUAACAAGGGGGACAUCCAGAGUUGCAACAACUAUAGGGGUAUCAAGUUGUUGAGUCCUACUAUAAAGAUUUGAGAAAGGGUGGUAGAGUUGAGGCUGAUGAGGGUUGUGACUGUCUCUGAGAAUCAGUUCGGUUUCAUGUCAGGUCGCUCGACUACUGAGGCCAUUCACCUUAUGAGAAGAUUAGUGGAGCAGUUUCGGGAGAGGAAGAAGGACUUGCACAUGGUGUUCAUUGAUCUUGAGAAGCAUAUGACAGAGUUCCCAGGGAGAUUUUAUGGAGGUGCUUGGAGGCUAGAGGGGUGCCUGUGGCGGACACUAGGUCGAUUCAGGUAAUGUAUGAUGGCGCGAAGACUCGCGUGAGAAUGGUAGGUGGAGAUUCGGAGCACUUUCCGAUUUUGAUAGGGUUGCACUACGGAUCGACUCUUAGCCCAUUUUUAUUUUCUUUGGUGAUGGAUGUUUUGACGCGACGUAUUCAAAGGGAGGUGCCUUGGUGUAUGUUAUUUGCUGAUGAUGUGGUUUUGAUUGACGAGACUCGGGGAGAAGUUAAUGAUAAGUUGGAGAUUUGGAGAUAGACCCUUGAAUCUAAAGGAUUUCGGUUGAGCAGGACCAAGACGGAGUAAUUGGAAUGUAAGUUUAGUGAUGUUUCGCAGGAGGUUGACAUGGUAGUGAAACUAGAUUCUCAGGCUAUUCAGAAAAGGGAGAGUUUCAAGUAUCUGGGGUCGAUGAUUCAAGGGAUUGGUGAGAUUGACAAGGAUGUCACACUCCAUAUUGGUGCAAGGUGGUUGAAAUAGAGACUUGCUUCGGGAGUUUUAUGUGAUAAGAAGGUGCCUCCAAAGCUGAAAGGUAAGUUCUACAGAGUGACAGUCAGACUGGCUCUAUUGUAUGGAGUGGAGUGUUGGCCAGUUAAGAACUUCCGCAUUCAAAUGUUAAAGGUGGCGGAGAUGAGGAUGUUGCGAUGGAUGCGUCCCCUUAUCGGGAAAGAUAGGGUGAGGAAUGAGAUUAUUCGGGAGAAGGCGAGAGUGACUUCGGUAGAGGACAAGAUAAGAGACGUGUGGUUACGUUAGUUCGGGCACGUGAUGAGGAGGGACUUGGAUGCUCCAAUACGGAGAUGUGAGACAUUGGCUAUAGAUGGUUUUAGGCGGGGUAAAGAUACUGGAGGGAGGUGAUUAGGCAUGAUAUGGAGCAGUUACAGCUUACGGAGGACAUGACCCUUGAUAGGAAGGUGUAGAAAACGCGGAUUAGGGUAGAGGUUUAGGGGGUGCGAUUGUGUUGGUAGUAGUAGGGGAGAGUACUUUGUUUGUGUCUGGAAUUUCUUGUUCGUGGUGUUUGAGUGACGUCUAUGAUUUCGAAUAGAUAAUUUAUAGUAUUAUCUUAUGGUUGAAGGGGAGCCUUGGAGUAACCGGUAAAGUUGCUGUCAUGUGAUCAGGAGGUCACGGGUUCAAGCCUUGGAAACAGCCUCUGGCAGAAAUGUAAGGUAAGACUGUGUGCGAUACACCCUUGUGGUGGGGCCCUUCCCUGGACACUGCACUAGUUAGUGCACCGGGCUGCCCCAUUUUAGUAUUAUCUUAUUGUUGUAUUGUUUCCUGUAUUAGCUAGUAGUGUUAGUUUAUUUUGUAUAUUGCAUUAGUUUAUAUGCAUUUAUGUUUUGUGUUUGUUAUACUGUUGUCGGUCCUGAGUCGGGGGUCUAUCGGAAACAGUCUCUCUAUUUCACCUAAGGUAGUGGUAUGGUCUGCGUAUACUCUACCCUCUCUACCCUCCCCAGACCCCUCUAUGUGGGAAUACACUAAGUAUGUUGUUGUUGUAGCUACCAAACAUUGUAUAACUUAUACAAAAAUUAAUACAUGAAUAAGUUGCUGCUCUACUAGCUACCAAACGACCCUAGAAUGUUUAUUAUUGUUGUUGUGAAUUAAAUAUGAGAUAAAAUGAUCUGAGAUUCUUUUUUAAUUAUUAGUCACCUAGCCCACCAACCUUAACUUUGGAGUAUAGCUAAGCAGCCAGAUCAGCAGGGCUGUGCAAAAAUCGAACCGAUCGAUAAAAAUGUUAUUGGGUUAUUGGUAUUGGGUUAUCGGGUUAACUGUUUUUUAUUGGUUUUAUAAAAAAAUUUAUUGGGUAAACGGUUCAGUAUCGGUUGUAGCUUAUUGACCGAUAACCCAAUAAGGAUACACUUAGUUAUUGUUUUAUCCCUAUUUAUGUUAUAUAUUUAAAUAUCUCUCUCUCUUUAUCUAUCUAUAUAGAUUAUAUGCACUACUAAUUCAUAAUUCAGUGAUUCACAAAGUAUUAACCUAUUCAGAGCAACAAAGACACAAUAUAAAGUUCGGCUAUUAUCGUAAUAAAAAGCUUGAAGCAUUUAUAACUUCCAACAAUUAGGAUUCAAUUUUUUUCCUAACUAACAUUCAAUUCAAGUUUGAAGAUUCCAUUGCGUAGGUUUUGGCGGUAAUUAAGAUUUUAUUUUUUUAUGUUAGUUGUUACUAUUGUUAUUUUAUAAGUAUUUUCUUAUUGGUUAAAUUGAAAACCGAACCAUUAAGGACCAAAAACUGAUAAACCGAAACCGAUAAGAAAAUAUCUUAUUGGUUGGUUAUUGGUUUUACAUAUUUAAAAACCGAAAACCGAACCAAUAACACUUAAAACCUAACCGAACCGACCGAAGCCCACCCCUACAGAUCAGUUAGAUCAACUAGUGAGUUUUCACACUGUCGCCAUGUCACCACGCUACACUGAAUUUGAACCUAUACGAAAAAUGCUAUAAGUUGCAAACCAAACGUCGUAUUGGUUUUACACAGGAAUAGCUUAUUUCCUAACUAACUACCAAACAUUGUAUUAACACAAAAGUUACUUCCUGAAUAAGUUGCUUCUUUAGGUGCUACCAAACGACUCCUAAAUGUUUAUUAUUGUUCUUAUGAAUUAAGCAUGUGACAAAAGAAUCUGACAUUCUUUUUUAAUUAUUAAUCACCUUGCCCACCAACCUGAGCUUUGGAGUAUAGCUAAGCAGCCAGAUCAGUUAGACCAAAUAGUGAGUUUUUAAACUUUCAUUCCACCACUCUACAUUGUAUAUUAAACCUUAUUUUCUUCAAAAACCUUAGAUAUUCUUCUUUAAUUAUUAAUCACCUAGCCCACCAACCUGAACUUUGGAGUAUAGCUAAGCAGCCAGAUCAGUUAGACUAAAUAGUGAGUUUUCAAACUGUCAUUUUACCACUCUACACUGUAUAUUAAACCUUAUUUUCUUCUAAAACCUUAGAUAUUCUUCUUUAAUUAUUAAUCACCUAGCCGCCAACACCAACCUGAACUUUGGAGUAUAGCUAAGCAGCCAGAUUAGUUAAGACCAACUAGUGAGUUUUUAAACUGUCAUUUAACCACUCUUCACUAUAUAUUAAACCUUAUUUUCUUCUAAAACCUUAAAUCCAUUCUAUCACAACAUUCUGAUUGAAGAUCCAAUCACUAACAUUUUCAAAGUUCCUUCCUUUUUUCCCCCUCUUAUCAUUACUGUUUUCUUGAUAUCUCAUGGAAAAUCACUCCAUUUUUUCAUCAUCCUCUUCUUCAAUGGAGAAAGUACAUUUUAGAACUAAAGUCCUCAGCAGACACCUAAAUCAAGAAACUCCCAUACUCAAUGCAAUGCACCAAUCAUUCCCAUGUCUUAGCUACAACCCACCUGAGCUUUCAGAACCAUCUUCUGUUUUUGACAUAAAAGAGAUGAGAAAGCUCAUGGAUGGGCACAAUUUGGAGGAAAGGGACUGGUGUUUUGGUUUGAUGUUAAAGAGUAAGCUUUUUAACCCAAUAAAAAGGGGUGGAAAAGUGUUUGUUUCCCCUGAUUACAAUCAAUCUAAGGAACAACAAAGGGAAAUUACCAUGAGGAGGAUUGAGUACCUUGUGGAACAUGGGAGUAUUGAGAAAUGGUUUACCGGUAAAGGGCCUGAAAAUGAAUUGAGGAACUUUGCUCGCGGAGAGUGUGCUAGUAUCUUUGAUCAUUCACUUGGCAUCAAGCUUGGAGUCCAUUUGUUCCUAUGGUAUGUUUUUGUCCAUUAUAUGCCUAUUUUUUAAUAUCCGGAGGUUAGUGGCCGGACAAAUUCGAUACCUAUCCGGUAGGUCCCACCCAAGGGAGAAGUUACCCAUUUCGAGGCUUAAAACCCGAGAUCUAUGGUUAAGGUAGAGGCAUCGGAUUAAGCGUGCAGCCCACUAAUAGAUAAAUUCAUCAUUCCCAAGAGUUGAACCCUUGACCUAUGGUUAAGGGUUAGACCUCUAGUUAAGAAGUUUUUCAUUUCCAAAACUUAGUAGAACCCGACUCAUGUAUUUAUUCUUCAUUCCCAAGAGUUGAACCCCUGAUUAAGGAUUAGACCUCCAGUUAAGAAGUUCCUCAUUUCCCAGACUUAGUAAAACCCGACUCACGUGGUUAAGUGUAAGACCUUUGGUUAAGUGUGAAGGGAUCAUAUCCACCACCACACCUCUUGGUGGUUUGAAUGAUAAAUUGCUAUAUUGGUUGUUGUUCUUGUUUGUUUUUCACUCAAAUUAGUUGGGAUCAGAUAUAUGAAUCGACUUUGUCUAUUUCAGAGAACUCAGAGUUCCGCUUUUUCUAUGGUUGUCAAAAGAUAUAAUUUUUGCAUAGGAUUAAGAAAAAUCCAAGUAGACAUUAAAUUUUCCUAUACGGACAUUCUUGAUUGCUUGAUUGAUUGGUUAAAGAAAGCUUACUUGGCAACUUUUGACCACCACCACCACCAAUAACUUACCCAGUGUAGUCCUCAUUGGGGUCUGUGGAGGGUACAAUGUACAUAAACCUUACCCCUACCUUUGUGGGGCAGAUAGUUUGUCUCCGAUAGACCCUUAGCUCGAAAGAGAAGUUUUUAAAGCAAGGAAAAUGCAAUAGAAAAAUAGCAAUAUCGCAAGAUACAAAGCAAAUGAAACAACAGAUAGUACCACACAUACAUUGAAGAACAAGAAACUAAGUGAAUGCUAACUAGUACUACCACUACUAAUAGGAGGGGAGUGAAUGAGGCCAACCCCUUGCCUCUUCCACACAUUGUAACACUUGACUACCUACUAACCGUCUACUCUAAUUCUCAACCUCCAUACCGUUCUAUCUAGGGUCAUCUCCUCAAUAAGCUAGAAUUGAGUCAUGUUAUGUCUAAUUAUCUCUCCCUAAUAACUUCUGCUCUACCACAAAGUAGGUAGGGUGAGCACAGAGGGUGGUGGGUGGCUCUGAUACCGUUGUUCGUUGAUACAAUCCAAGGAAAAUCUUAUCCCAAAAGAUAGCUAUUGAGGUCUGAGAACCCAAGGCUACAGAAACCUAAUGCCGAUGUGGAAAUCAAAUCUCGUACCCUGCGAUGGACAAUACCAAGUUCUCCCUUCUCGAGGCUUAAAGCUGAAACCUCUGACUAAAUACAGAGCCUACUAAGAGAAGUUCUUCAUUUCCAAGGCUCUAUGGUUAAGCGUGGAAGGAUCUCAUUUAUUCCACCUCACCUCUUGGUUAUUCUUGUUCUUAUUUGUUUUUCCCCUUAACUUAGCUGGGCUCAAUUGUUUGUAAUUUACAUUAGAUACUCUUUCUAAUUUGAAAAAAACUUGUUAUUGAAUAAAUUAUAAAUACUUGUAUGCUUAUAAAUUUUAUUUUUUUUAAAAAUAAAUAAUUUAAAUUACUUUUAAAUAUAUAAAGAUAUCAUUUUUUUAAAUUAAUUUAAAUUACAAAGUAUAUGAUAUAAAUUAGAAAGUCGUUUGGUUACAUUGAUGGGAUAUAUAGGAAUCUUUCAUGAGAUCCAUUAUCCCACCUUUUAUAUGAAAUUAACUAAUUUCACCAUUUUGUAAAAAAUUAUUUUCAGAACUAAUUAAUAUCCAUAUUCAAAUAUGACACUGAGGAGUCGUUAGUAGCUGGUUAAAAUUAUGCAGGUAUAUAGCUAUUCUAUCCUCUACACCGUAUAGGAUAAGACACCAAUUUCCUCAUAACUUAUACAUGUAUUAGUUUUUUAAUAAUCGUGGUGUCCGGGCCAGCUUGCGCAUAUUCUAUCCUCUACACCGUAUAGGAUAAGACACCAAUUUCCUUGUAACUUAUACAUGUAUUAGUUUUUUAAUAACUGUGGUGUCCGAGGCAGCUUGCGUACACCCCGACUAAUUCCACGGGAUACCUGCCACCUCCCACCAGCAACAGGUACCAGGUAACUCUGUCCACCAAGGCUAGAACAGAUGAAAAGAAAUCAGUUAGUGUUUGUCUCCGUUGGGAAUUAAACCUGUGACCUCAUGAUGACCUCAUGGUGCUCAAUCCAACUUCAUUGAACCACUAGGCCACACCCUUGGGUGCUAUAUAUGUAUUAGUUACGAGUUUCUAAAUUGCAACCAAACGUCAUAUCAGUGUUAAACAUGAAUGACUUAUUUCCUAACUAACUGCCAGACAUUGUAUAACUUAUACAAAAAUUAGUACAUGUAUAAAUUGCUUCUUUACUAGCUACCAAACAAGCUCUGAUUGUUUUUUAUUGUAGUUGUUAGUCAACUAUGAUGUAAAAUAGUCUGACCUUUUGAAUUUUCAGCUAUUGAUGUAGCCUCUUUGGAUGCUGAUCUAGAAUCCUUAUUUUUUUAAAUAUUAACAACCACCUAGCCCACCAACUUUGACCAUGGAAUAUAACUAAGUAGCCAGAUCAGUUAGACCAAAUAUUAAGUUUCCACACUGUCAUGCCACCACUCUACAUUGUUUUUUUUCCCUUCUUAUCACUUCUGUUUUCUUGAUUUCUCAUACAAAAUCAAUCAUCACUUCAAUGGAGAAAGUGAGUUUCAGAAUAGAAGUCCUCAGCAGACACCUAAGUCAAAAAACAUCAACUCCCAAGUAUACAUUCCAAUCAGUCCCAUGUCUUAGCUACAAGCCACCUGAGCUUUCAGAACCAUCUGCUGUUUUCAACAUAAAAGAGAUGAGAAAGCUCGUGGAUGGUCACAAUUUGAAGGAAAGGGAGUGGCUUUUUGGUCUGAUGUUACAAAGCAAUCUUUUUAACCCAAUAGAAAGGGGUGGCAAAGUGUUUGUUUCCCAUGAUUACAGUCAGUCUAAGGAACAACAAAGGGAAAUUACCAUGAGGAGAAUUGAGUACCUUCUUGAACAUGGGGUUUUCAAGAAAUGGUUUACUGGUAAAGGGCCUGAAAAUGAGUGGAGGAAGUUAGCUUUCUCGGAUUGUGUUGGCGUCUUUGAUUAUUCACUUAGCAUCAAGCUUGGAGUCCAUUUGACCCUAUGGUAUGUUCUUGUCCAUUGUGUGCCUAUUUUUAAUAUCCGGAAGUUAGUGGCCUAACUAAUUUGCAUACCUCUCCGGUAGGUCCCAACUAAGGGAGAAGUUAUCUAUUCUCGAGGCCUGAACUCGAGACGUAUGGUUGAGGGGGAGACAUUUGGUUAAGUGUGGCGUCCACUAAGAGAUAAGUUCUUCAUUCCCGAGAGUUGAACCCUUGGCCUAUGGUUAAGGGUUAGAAUUGUAGUUAAGACUUAAGAGGUUCUUCAUUUCUAAGACUUGGUAGAACCCGACUCUUGUGGUUAAGUGCAAAACUUUGGUUAAGUGUGAAGGGGGUCACCUCCAUCCCACCUCACCUCUUGAUGGUCCGAAUGAUAAAUUGCUAUAAUGGUUGUUGUUACUGUUUGUUUUUCACUCAAAUUAGUUGGGAUCAAAUAUAUGAAUCGGCUUUGUCUAUCUCAGAGAACUCAUAAUUCCACUCUUUUUACUAUGGUUGUCAUAAGACAUUAUUAUUGAAUAGGAAUAAGAAAGAGUAUAAGUAGACAUUAAAUUUUCCUGUACGGACAUUCUUGAUUGCUUGAUUGAUUGGUUAAAGAAAGCUUACUUGGCAACUUUAGACCACCCAUCUGUGGAGGGUAGGAUGUACGCAAACCCUACCCCUGCCUUUGUGGGGUAGAUAGUUUGUUUCCGGUAGACCCUUGGCUCAAAACAAAAGUUUUUUAAGCAAGGAAAAUGCAAUAGAAAAAUAGCAAAAUAGCAAGAUACAAAGCAAAUGAAACAACAGACGGUACCACACAUUGAAAAAUAAGAAACAAAGCAAAUGCUAACUAGUACUACCACUACUAAUAGGAGGGGUAUUAUAUAAUUUUUUGAAUUAAUUUAAAUUGAAAAGUAUUAUAUAAAUUAGAAAGUCGUUUGUUUACAUUGAUGGGAUGUAUAAGAAUAUUUCAUGAGAUCCAUUAUCCCACCUUUUGUAUGAAAUUGCUAAUUUCACCAUUUUGUACAAAAUUAUUUUUGGAGCUAAUCAACAUCUAUAUUCAAAUAUGUAUAAAUUAGAA